This is a long non-coding RNA of Lynx canadensis (Canada lynx), 183 nucleotides long. RefSeq lists it as uncharacterized. Lineage: Eukaryota; Metazoa; Chordata; Mammalia; Carnivora; Felidae. The record is from RefSeq and is a predicted model, not a curated record. The transcript is spliced from 4 exons.
ACUUGUGCUCUUCAGAUAUGAUUUCUCCUUGAACAUCUUUUGAUAAACAGCAAGAUGGUGUGAUCUUGAUGUAUAUGAAAAAAACUUCAUUCUUGUGAGUCAUUUAAGUGUGUACAGUGUACACACUGGUACUAAGAGUUUCUGUUUUAAUUCUUUUUUAAUAAACUCCCCUUUGAUUUAAAA